Non-coding RNA from Oryza meridionalis, 207 nucleotides. Lineage: Eukaryota; Viridiplantae; Streptophyta; Magnoliopsida; Poales; Poaceae. The record is from Rfam.
UAUAAGUGCAGUUGUGAUUUUUCGUGUCCAACGUUUGACCGUCCGUCUUAUUUGAAAAAAAAAUUAUGAUUAGUAUUUUUAUUGUUAUUAGAUGAUAAAACAUGAAUAAUACUUUAUGUGUGACUAUUUUUCUAAUUUUUUUCAUAAAAUUUUUAAAUAAGAUGAAUGGUCAAAUGCUGGACACGAAAAUCUACAAUUACACUUAUA